UCUCCUGGAAACGGGUGGUAAUGCCGGAUGUUCCACAUGAUCGCAUGUGAUUGUGGGAAAGAUUCUAUCGGCGUGGGAUGGGGUCGCGUCCUAUCAGCUUGUUGGUGAGGUAACGGCUCACCAAGGCUUCGACGGGUAGCCGGCCUGAGAGGGCGACCGGCCACAUUGGGACUGAGAUACGGCCCAGACUCCUACGGGAGGCAGCAGUGGGGAAUAUUGCACAAUGGGCGCAAGCCUGAUGCAGCGACGCCGCGUGAGGGAUGGAGGCCUUCGGGUUGUAAACCUCUUUUGUUUGGGAGCAAGCCUUCGGGUGAGUGUACCUUUCGAAUAAGCGCCGGCUAACUACGUGCCAGCAGCCGCGGUAAUACGUAGGGCGCAAGCGUUAUCCGGAUUUAUUGGGCGUAAAGGGCUCGUAGGCGGCUCGUCGCGUCCGGUGUGAAAGUCCAUCGCUUAACGGUGGAUCUGCGCCGGGUACGGGCGGGCUGGAGUGCGGUAGGGGAGACUGGAAUUCCCGGUGUAACGGUGGAAUGUGUAGAUAUCGGAAAAGAACACCA
Molecule: ribosomal RNA, 554 nt
Filed under: Bifidobacterium bifidum
Lineage: Bacteria; Bacillati; Actinomycetota; Actinomycetes; Bifidobacteriales; Bifidobacteriaceae
Description: bacterial SSU rRNA
Rfam family: Bacterial small subunit ribosomal RNA
Source: RNAcentral